Molecule: ribosomal RNA, 346 nt
Filed under: uncultured bacterium
Lineage: Bacteria
Description: bacterial SSU rRNA
Rfam family: Bacterial small subunit ribosomal RNA
Source: RNAcentral
AGAGUUUGAUCCUGGCUCAGGAUGAACGCUGGCGGCGUGCCUAACACAUGCAAGUCGAACGGAAUUUACAUGAAGCCUAGCGAUUGUAAAUUUAGUGGCGGACGGGUGAGUAACGCGUGGGUAACCUGCCUUGUACUGGGGGACAACAGUUGGAAACGACUGCUAAUACCGCAUAAGCGCACGGCUUCGCAUGAAGCAGUGUGAAAAACUCCGGUGGUACAAGAUGGACCCGCGUCUGAUUAGCUGGUUGGNGAGGUAACGGCCACAAGGCGACGAUCAGUAGCCGGCUGAGAGGGUGAACGGCCACAUUGGGACUGAGACACGGCCCAAACUCCUACGGGAGGCA